AACCCAUGGUGAGAGAAUCAUCUCAAUUAAUCCUUAUACCUCUCUCAUGCAUCAUAUAGGGUCUCUAAAUCGAUUUGAAAGAAGGAAGAGAUAUCAUUCCUUAACUU
This 107-nucleotide small nucleolar RNA is filed under the name Gossypium hirsutum (cotton). RNAcentral describes it as "Plant small nucleolar RNA R71". It matches the Rfam family "Plant small nucleolar RNA R71". Rfam says of the family: R71 is a member of the C/D box family of snoRNAs containing the C (UGAUGA) and D (CUGA) box motifs. Lineage: Eukaryota; Viridiplantae; Streptophyta; Magnoliopsida; Malvales; Malvaceae. The record is from Rfam by way of RNAcentral. RNAcentral also lists the same sequence under 1 other name.